This 460-nucleotide ribosomal RNA is filed under the name uncultured bacterium. RNAcentral's name for it is "partial 16S ribosomal RNA". It matches the Rfam family "Bacterial small subunit ribosomal RNA", at positions 338 to 795 of the family's 1533-position model. The record is from RNAcentral.
CCUACGGGAGGCAGCAGUGAGGAAUAUUGGUCAAUGGACGAGAGUCUGAACCAGCCAAGUAGCGUGAAGGAUGACUGCCCUAUGGGUUGUAAACUUCUUUUAUAUGGGACUAAAAUGUUCCACGUGUGGGAUUUUGUAUGUACCAUAUGAAUAAGGAUCGUCUAACUCCUUGCCAGCAGCCGCGGUAAUACGGCGGAUCCGAGCGUUAUCCGGAUUUAUUGGGUUUAAAGGGAGCGUAGGUGGAUUGUUAAGUCAGUUGUGAAAGUUUGCGGCUCAACCGUAAAAUUGAAGUUGAAACUGGCAGUCUUGAGUACAGUAGAGGUGGGCGGAAUUCGUGGUGUAGCGGUGAAAUGCUUAGAUAUCACGAAGAACUCCGAUUGCGAAGGCAGUUCACUGGACUGCAACUGACACUGAGGCUCGAAAGUGUGGGUAUCAAACAGGAUUAGAUACCCUAGUAGUC